GAUCCUGGCUUAGGAUGAACGCUAGCUACAGGCUUAACACAUGCAAGUCGAGGGGCAGCAGAUCGAAAGCUUGCUUUGAUGCUGGCGACCGGCGCACGGGUGAGUAACGCGUAUCCAACCUUCCCUAUAGUAGAGAAUAGCCCGGCGAAAGUCGGAUUAAUGCUCUAUGUUGUAUUUAGAAGACAUCUGAAGAAUACCAAAGGUUUACCGCUAUAGGAUGGGGAUGCGUCUGAUUAGGUAGUAGGCGGGGUAACGGCCCACCUAGCCGACGAUCAGUAGGGGUUCUGAGAGGAAGGUCCCCCACAUUGGAACUGAGACACGGUCCAAACUCCUACGGGAGGCAGCAGUGAGGAAUAUUGGUCAAUGGACGGAAGUCUGAACCAGCCAAGUAGCCGUGCAGGAUGACGGCCCUAUGGGUUGUAAACUGCUUUUAUAUAGGGAUAAAGUCGGGGACGUGUCCCCGUUUGUAGGUACUAUAUGAAUAAGGACCGGCUAAUUCCGUGCCAGCAGCGGC
This 514-nucleotide ribosomal RNA is filed under the name uncultured bacterium. RNAcentral describes it as "bacterial SSU rRNA". It matches the Rfam family "Bacterial small subunit ribosomal RNA", at positions 15 to 518 of the family's 1533-position model. The record is from RNAcentral.